CAGUAGCCGCGGUAAUACAGAGGGUGCGAGCGUUAAUCGGAUUUACUGGGCGUAAAGCGUGCGUAGGCGGCUUCUUAAGUCGGAUGUGAAAUCCCUAAGCUUAACUUAGGAAUUGCAUUCGAUACUGGGAAGCUAGAGUAUGGGAGAGGAUGGUAGAAUUCCAGGUGUAGCGGUGAAAUGCGUAGAGAUCUGGAGGAAUACCGAUGGCGAAGGCAGCCAUCUGGCCUAAUACUGACGCUGAGGUACGAAAGCAUGGGGAGCAAACAGGAUUAGAUACCCCCGUAGUCCCUGUCUCUUAUAC
This 301-nucleotide ribosomal RNA is filed under the name uncultured bacterium. Its description in RNAcentral is "partial 16S ribosomal RNA". It matches the Rfam family "Bacterial small subunit ribosomal RNA", at positions 509 to 807 of the family's 1533-position model. The record is from RNAcentral.